ACGGUAGCAUUCACUGUAAC
This 20-nucleotide microRNA is filed under the name Ciona intestinalis (vase tunicate). Its description in RNAcentral is "cin-miR-4011b-3p". The record is from miRBase by way of RNAcentral. Lineage: Eukaryota; Metazoa; Chordata; Ascidiacea; Phlebobranchia; Cionidae.